This is a long non-coding RNA of Triticum aestivum (bread wheat), 2918 nucleotides long. RefSeq lists it as uncharacterized. NCBI's taxonomy places the organism in Eukaryota, Viridiplantae, Streptophyta, Magnoliopsida, Poales, Poaceae. The record is from RefSeq and is a predicted model, not a curated record. The transcript is spliced from 2 exons.
CUGAGCGGCCGCACAUCUCGACUCGGGGAGACGAAUCUAUAGCGCCGCCGGCGCCAUCCCCUCACGUUUCAAGGAAGCCCCUAGCUCACGCCUCACGGUUGCGCGAGGCAAGGCAAAUGUCACGAGCACCUCCUGUACUGGUGGCCAUGGACACGAACAGGCCCGGUCCUGGAGGGCGAUCGGGGCGGCCACCCCGACCCCUAAUUCCAAGGGGCCCAUCUAUACCAUCCCGCCGGCCGGGCCCUAGCUUCCGAAGAGCGUCGCCGCAGUGAUGGUGUUCAUGGGACGAGUUCGUCAACAGAUUCAUGCAAGCCCUUCUACUCCGGCCCCAAUACUGUAUGCUUCGAUCCCAUCCUGCCUUCCGAAAUUCUCAUCUCAUCGGCACCAUGCCCAGUUUCUCAUUAAUGCAUCUUAAUCCAAUCGGUUAUGUGCUGCCCAUGUAAUCCAUAAUCGAUAUAAGAUUAAAACGGAAAAGCUUAACAACGUCUUGUUUGCUCAUGUCUCAUGAACCUGAUGUUAUAUGUGACAUUUCAGCGAAGGAUUAGGCAGAGUAACAGCAAAACCAAUAAAAAAGGCGAGGCAGGACCGCAGGAGGCACUUAUAUCUUGUUUGAUCUUACUUUGCUUUAAAAGUAUCACAAUUGGGAUUGCUGGGUAAACAGUUGACUGAACCUUGAUACCAUUAUGCAGGUAUGAAGAAAGUGUGCGCUAUUGUUGGACUUCUUUUUUCUGGUACAGAAAUGCGAAGUACACUUGCGACAGAAUCAUUAUUGCCAUGACAAUCGAAUCUUGAUAUAUUUUGUGUGACAAAUCUUUACAGAAAACAGAUUGCUCACUCAAACCCUAUGACCACGACCAGGCCUAUGUGUGACGAUUGAUCUCAAAGCUCCAGGAUUACUGUGCCUAUGUGCGGCGCCAUCCGACUUCAAGAUUUCACAUGUUCGACCACUAGGCAGCCACAUUUUUUAAAGUAAUAUGAUAACCACUAAAAUAAGGUGGUACUUAUAAAUUACUCCCUCCGUCCCACAAUAUAAGAUGUUUUUGCAGUUCAAAUUAUUGGAUAGAGGUAGUAUUUGAUAUGAGUGUAUUAUUUGACCACUCACCUUUUGGGCGUCUCGGAUUUUAGUUUCGCCCCGGACCUCUACCCAGUACAGGCCCUGGAAAUGAAUAUUGAAUCGCUUUUCUCAUGAUUUCUCUGAGAGAGAAAUCACAAAUAAGUAAGGUGUUUUACUCUGCCCGAUGUAACUAUACUUCUUGAAGACAUAUAACAUAAAAAUUGUUUAUCUAGACCCAUAUGAUUUAUGAUUGGGACAAAUAGCGCGACCAUAUGAGCCUAUGGUAAUAUCAUACUGAUCUAUUUCCAGUUUUUGUCGCAUUGUAUUAAUCUGCAUCCGCACUAAAUUAACUUCAGACAGGCAUCAUAGAAGCCCAUAUGUUUUCUUAGAUGGAAAGUAUGUAUAUAAGCAAAGCAGUGGCUGUGUGCCCAUGCAGCUACAACAACCCACAUUAUUUUCACAAUACUCAAAUUUGUGUGAAUAUUCAAGGAUAUGAUGCAUUUUUUCUAGCUUGAAAAGCCAACCGAGUACAUGAGUGCUACUCCGCUAAACCCUAUGCCAAGAUGUGCUUUCGGGAGGUAUACUUUGUUCUUGCUUUGCUUUUUUGGCAGUUGAUGUUGGGCUACAUCCGGCGGUAUUCCUCGCAUCAUUGUUCAAUGCCUAUUCUUAUGCUUUAACUAACUCAUUGCCUUUAGUUUCUGGAACAUGUUGUUAACUUAAUCCUAUUCACUAUAGGUGCAUGGAGCUUAAUUGGAUUACAUCACGUUUGUGGUACAGAUGUAUGCAUGAGAUAAGCUGGUUUUGGUCUGUACAGCUGCAAUGUUUACUAUUUAAGUCUCAUUUACCAGUGUAUCUGUUUUUUGUAUGUUGGGCCACUGAUUGCUACACUUGGCAAAAAAUUCACAUUAACAACAAAGCCUGGUAAGGCAGCAUUAGAGGGAGUGCAGGAGGUGAAAUGCAUCAUUACCAUCAUGCUCUCUAUCUAGAGCUGGUACGAUGUGUACACAGUUUGAUGAGAUUCAUACUUUUGGUGGUACGGUUGAUGUGUUUUACAGUUCUGUCAUCUAUGCUUCGGUGCAAAAAUGUACCCGCCAUUUUCAAUUUUUGCUGAGUUCACCAGAACAAUUGACCACCUACUUAGUGCCAAAUAUUGAAAUUUCACUUGAUUUAGAAUGGUUUGCUUUUGUGUUUAACGGAUUGAAAUGUGCGGAAGAUUUCAAUUGCAAUUCUUUUCACUCCUAACUGAACUGAUUCUGUACUUUUUGCCUAUGUGAUUAUGCUUAGUUUUGAGUUCGCAAGAAUCUGGUCUGGAACGGAACUCCUUACAUGAAGAAGCAUUCUAGGUGUCAAAUAAGCAAACGAGUGCCAAGAGGCAAGUGGCCAAGGUAGCAUUCCUGAUGACAAGUGAGGCAAUGGCAGCCAUGAUGUGCAGCGGCAGGCUCCAUUGUUCGGUUCAGGAAAACUCUCUCUUUGGUAAGUCCUUGUAUCACUCGCGUCAUUAAAAAUUUCAGGUUUUUUAUUUCCUUAACAACGUGCAUGCCGUAUGUGGAUGGAGUGCACAAGAGGAACCAUUUUACUCAGCAAUCAACAGUUUUUCCUACGGGUAUCAUAGCAUAGACUCACUAUAGCAGAUGCCAUUGACCUCCAUAGUCCACCGUUACAACUGAUGUUCUUGUGAAGCUUUCUAUGCAUCAUUUUGACUCGAAGGUCUUUAUUUUUGGUUCUUUUGGAUCAGAAAAUAUGUAAUUGCAUUCCUAGAUGCGUUGGGCCAACUUCUUGUUAUGUUAUUUCUUAAGCUUAGAAUAGACUUUAUGUAAAUGUUGUAAACCACUUGUUGAGUGACUUCAUUUUGGCAAGCCCUUCA